Molecule: ribosomal RNA, 498 nt
Filed under: uncultured bacterium
Lineage: Bacteria
Description: partial 16S ribosomal RNA
Rfam family: Bacterial small subunit ribosomal RNA
Source: RNAcentral
AUUGAACGCUGGCGGCAUGCCUUACACAUGCAAGUCGAACGGUAACGCGGGGCAACCUGGCGACGAGUGGCGAACGGGUGAGUAAUGCAUCGGAACGUGCCCAGUAGUGGGGGAUAGCCCGGCGAAAGCCGGAUUAAUACCGCAUACGACCUACGGGUGAAAGCGGGGGACCGUAAGGCCUCGCGCUAUUGGAGCGGCCGAUGUCAGAUUAGGUUGUUGGCGGGGUAAAGGCCUACCAAGCCGACGACCUUUAGCUGGUCUGAGAGGACGGCCAGCCACGCUGGGACUGAGAGCCGGCCCAGACUCCUACGGGAGGCAGCAGUGGGGAAUUUUGGACAAUGGGGGCAACCCUGAUCCAGCCAUGCCGCGUGCGGGAAGAAGGCCUGCGGGUUGUAAACCGCUUUUGUCAGGGAAGAAACGCUCUGGGCUAAUACCCUGGGGUAAUGACGGUACCUGAAGAAUAAGCACCGGCUAACUACGUGCCAGCAGCCGCAGUAA